Molecule: ribosomal RNA, 233 nt
Filed under: uncultured bacterium
Lineage: Bacteria
Description: partial 16S ribosomal RNA
Rfam family: Bacterial small subunit ribosomal RNA
Source: RNAcentral
GAUCAUGGCUCAGGAUGAACGCUAGCGACAGGCUUAACACAUGCAAGUCGAGGGGCAUCAUGAGGUAGCAAUACCUUGAUGGCGACCGGCGCACGGGUGAGUAACGCGUAUGCAACCUGCCUGAUACCGGGGUAUAGCCCAUGGAAACGUGGAUUAACACCCCGUAGUACUUUUAUCCUGCAUGGGAUGUGAGUUAAAUGUUCAAGGUAUCGGAUGGGCAUGCGUCCUAUUAG